Candoia aspera is the source of this 654-nucleotide long non-coding RNA. RefSeq lists it as uncharacterized. The record is from RefSeq and is a predicted model, not a curated record. The transcript is spliced from 6 exons. Lineage: Eukaryota; Metazoa; Chordata; Lepidosauria; Squamata; Candoiidae.
AGGAAGGAGGAAGGCUAAGAUCCAGGGAGUCUUAAUCACUUCUUCAUUGUUUAUGGCUUUGUGAAUUGCUUUGGAAAAAGGGUUUGAAAUCCUCACAGGGUCUGGCUCACACAAAGCAACAAAUGCCUGUGCUCUUCAUGCAUUCAUUUGGACCAGUGACACAUGUCAGGAUCCUACAUGUUUUAUUAUGAAGAUCCUUUACCUUGCCUGCCUGCUCUUCUGCAUAGCCUUCUUGUUCACUCCAGGAACUGGAAAUAAAAUUAAAACAGAAAAAGAAUGUCAUGCUGCUGAUGGCUACUGCAAGAUGGGGGAAUGUUUAUAUCCCGAAUUUAAGUUCAUUGGAGUCUGUAGGAAAGUUUUUUAUUGCUGUAAAAAGAUUCAAAGGAAACACAAAUCAGUGCACAUACGGUUGCAGACACAUAACAAUGAAAUGUUUUGGGGAAACUAAUUAUGUGAAAACCACUCUGAAGGGAGUAUGCUGCUGUAAAAAAUAUGAGCCUAAAAUUAAUGAUUGAAUGCUUCUGCUUUGGGUUUGAAUACUGAGAAAAGUAAUAAUUGGGACAACAGCCAAGGCUAGAUUCAUUAUCAGAGCAUUUCUUUGUCUCCUCUGCUGUUUCUACUGCUGCUACAGAAGGCAAAAGAUGAAAAAUAAAC